This 603-nucleotide non-coding RNA is filed under the name Drosophila virilis. RNAcentral's name for it is "Eukaryotic large subunit ribosomal RNA". It matches the Rfam family "Eukaryotic large subunit ribosomal RNA", at positions 1 to 587 of the family's 3401-position model. The record is from Rfam by way of RNAcentral. Lineage: Eukaryota; Metazoa; Arthropoda; Insecta; Diptera; Drosophilidae.
CAACCUCAACUCAUAUGGGACUACCCCCUGAAUUUAAGCAUAUUAAUUAGGGGAGGAAAAGAAACUAACAAGGAUUUUCUUAGUAGCGGCGAGCGAAAAGAAAUCAGUUCAGCACUAAGUCACUUUGUCUAUAUGGCAAAUGUGAGAUGCAGUGUACGGAACAUCAACAUUCUAGUAUGAGAAGUUAACGAUUUAAGUCCUUCUUAAAUGAGGCCAUUUACCCAUAGAGGGUGCCAGGCCCGUAUAACGUUAAUGAUUACUAGAUGGUGUUUCCAAAGAGUCGUGUUGCUUGAUAGUGCAGCACUAAGUGGGUGGUAAACUCCAUCUAAAACUAAAUAUAACCAUGAGACCGAUAGUAAACAAGUACCGUGAGGGAAAGUUGAAAAGAACUCUGAAUAGAGAGUUAAAUAGUACGUGAAACUGCUUAGAGGUUAAGCCCGAUGAACCUGAAUAUCCGUUAUGGAAAAUUCAUCAUUAGAAUUGUAAUAUUUUAAACAAUAUUAUAAUAAUAGUGUGCAUUUUUUCCAUAUAAGGACAUUGUAAUCUAUUAGCAUAAAUAUUUAUCAUAAAAUUAUGUCUGAUUGCUUAUUUGAAUUAUAUGCU